AAGCAAAUUUCUGGACACUGAUAAACUACAAAAUUAAAACCAGGAUCAACGUAGCUUUGUCUAGACUACUCCGGGCAGUGAAGUUCCAAGUUUGCAGACUGAACUGCCCAGUUAAUUGCUCUGACCUGCACCUCCUUUUGGUUUAUAGAGACAUGGCUUCUCAAUAUUAAAACCUAUAAACAAUUGCUUUCCCACCUGAAGGCUGAAAUGACAAUGGAAAACCACAUCUGGCAAAGAGUUUGAUCUUUGGCUCAAGGGAUUAGAUUGAGUCUAGUGGAGUAAAUUUUACAGCCUAGAGAAUUAUGUAUUUUCAAAUCGCUCCAGCUUUGUAAAGCUGCAAUCUCCACCAAGAUUCUCUGUGUGUGAAAGAGCAAGAAAGGCCACCUGGGUCUUUACAUGGGAUUCACCUGGAGUUUUUACCUGCCCACAUAAUUCCCAUUUUCAAGAUAAAAAGUCGACCUAAUAAGAACAUUUCUUGCCUUUUAUCAUUAUUCAUCAUUAAAUUGGUCUAGACCCUUCACACCGGAAGUAGAAACAAGAUAAGAUGGAGGCAGAGAGCCUGGGGAAAGGUCAGGGACAGGUUUAAAUAUGUCCCACUAAGCAAGGCAGUCAGUGUUCCUGCUAUCAAGCUAUUCAGUACUAUGCCAGCUGUCACCCACUACGGCAUUACCCUGGCUGCACCCUUCUUCUGCUCAGGGAAAAUGUCCAAAGGAAUCUUCAACCCUACAGAAGAGUGAGAAGACUUCUGGGACAGUAGCUGUGACUUUGUUGCUGCUGUUAUUCAGUCACUCAAUAGACUACACUGCACCUGUACCAGACACAGUGACUUCAGAGAAGACACCUGAAGUCCUGUCCCUCAAGACUCCGGGAGAGAUGACAUGUGACUGCGUUCUCAUACAAAGUGCCAACUUCUUUAGGCCUAGACAAAAGCACCCAGAGGGGAGCCAAAGAAGGUUUCCAAGAGGAGGCAGUCUCUUACAGGCUUAGUUGUGAUCAUGAGGGCGGAGCCCCCCUCCCCCACCAUGGAAUUAGUGCCCUUCUAAGAAGAGGAAGAGAUAUCAGAGAUACAAGGAGGAGGCAGACACCUGCAAUCCAGGAAGAGAGCUCUCACCAAGAAAUGAAUACUUGCACCUUGAUCUUGGACUUCCAAGCCUAUGGUAUUUUAUUACAGCAGCUCAUGAAGACUAAUCCAAAAGGCAUGGUGGUCUGGAGAAAUGGUGGGCCUAAGCUGAAGACAGCUGCAAUGUUUAAGAACAAAGCCAGAAAUCAGAAUACAUCCUUCUCUCCAAUAAGAAGGGACCUUCAUGUCCUGGAAAUGCCCAGGCUGUGCAUAUUUGGAUGAAUAAGAAGAGAAGAUGGCAUGUGAGGGCUUCCCGGUCAAAUUCCCAACCUUACAUUCAGAUCUGUUGCCUUGAUUUAUGCAUUUUGUUUUCACUUCUGAUAUAUACCUGGGGAAUCAUGUUUGGAAGCUGAUCUGCAGAAAAGGAAUUCAAUUAGAAACAAAGACCAUCAUGGCCAACUACCCUAGUUCACCCUACUAAAAAGUCCCCCAUCCUGAGAGCCCCUCAGUCCCAGGCCAACCAGGACUGUGGGUUUCCCUAAAGAGACAUAAUAAAAUGCUACAAAAGACUGUGAGUCAACAUUUAUGAAUUUCAUAGCAGAUAGAUAUGAUUUUUAACUAGGAGAAAAUGAGGUGAUGAUUUUUCUUCUAUGUAAUUUUAGGGUACCAUACAUGAGGCAACAUAUAAUGCAUGUUUCCUUUAAUAAAGCCCAACAUGUUGACCUGUGAAAGACAAAAGGCAGGAAAUUAAUAAAAAUAGUAACAACUAACAUAUUGGGCUUUAUCAUAGGCUGGACACUGUUCUAAAAGCUCUGUGUGUGUGUGUGUGUGUGUGUGUGUGCGCGCGCGCACACGCUCACUAAAAGCUUUACGAAAAUUAAAUCAUUCAAUCCUCAAAACACCCUUAUUACAAUCAUCCACAUUUUACAAAUGAGAAAAUGGAGACAUAGGUCAUAUACAAAAGAAAUGGAACUGGG
Long non-coding RNA from Bos grunniens (domestic yak), 2037 nucleotides. Lineage: Eukaryota; Metazoa; Chordata; Mammalia; Artiodactyla; Bovidae. The record is from Ensembl.